AGUCCUGUGUACGAAGUCCUGUGGUGCCCAUAAUAGGGCCGGGCAAUAGCUCCGAUUUACGAAGUCCUGUGGUGCCCAUAAUAGGGCCGGGCAAUACGAAGUCCUGUGGUGCCCAUAAUAGGGCCGGGCAUGGAGCUGAGGGAUUUUUGGGUCGGUCCUUCCAUGAUGUGAAAUGUUUGUGCAAUGAUGCAUUCCAUUAUAGCAUGU
This 207-nucleotide long non-coding RNA is filed under the name Manihot esculenta (cassava). Its description in RNAcentral is "long non-coding RNA (MESC_LNC009187)". Lineage: Eukaryota; Viridiplantae; Streptophyta; Magnoliopsida; Malpighiales; Euphorbiaceae. The record is from RNAcentral.